Long non-coding RNA from Ostrinia nubilalis (European corn borer), 391 nucleotides. RefSeq lists it as uncharacterized. The transcript has 3 exons. Lineage: Eukaryota; Metazoa; Arthropoda; Insecta; Lepidoptera; Crambidae. The record is from RefSeq and is a predicted model, not a curated record.
UGUCAGAGAGGGGUAUUGUGUAAUGUCAAAUUGAAACAAAAAAUUAGUUCAAUUUACAUUGAAUUGGUUUUUGUGGUUCAGAAAAUACAGAAAAGCCUAUGAACACAACUAACAAAAUGAUCAAGGGGCUGGUAAUAUUUGGCACGGGAUUGUAUGCUGGAGUAUACAUAGCACAAAAUUAUCAGAUUGACAAGGUUGAAGAUCCGAAGGUUCUUUUUGAAAAGGCACAAGCUUUCAUUAAAUCCAAAAUAGGAGGAGAUGACGGCAAAAAAGGUGGAAAGGACUGCUAAUAUUUUGAAAAUCAGUUUUAAGAAAAUAUCCUAUGAUUUUGUAAAUAUGUUUAUUAGUUCUUAUACAAUGAUAAUCUAAAUAAAUUAGCAUUAAAAACAGA